This is a long non-coding RNA of Equus caballus (horse), 2968 nucleotides long. Lineage: Eukaryota; Metazoa; Chordata; Mammalia; Perissodactyla; Equidae. The record is from Ensembl.
AUUGAUAAUCAGGUGAAUUUUUUUAUUUUAUUGAGGUCAUAACAGUUUAUAACAUUGUGAAAUUUCAGUUGUACAUUAUUUACCAGUCACCAUAUAAAUGUGCCCCUUCACCCCUUAUGCUCAACCCCCAAGGUAAAUUUUUAAGUAGAGAAUUUUUCUUUUCUUUUUUUUUUGAGGAAGAUUAGCCCUGAGCUAACUACCGCCAGUCCUCCUCUUUUUUGCUGAGGAAGCCUGGCCCUGUGCUAACAUCCGUGCCCAUCUUCCUCUACUUUAUACGUGGGACCCCUACCACAGCACGGCGUGCCAAGCGGUGCCAUGUCCGCACCGAGGAUUCGAACCGGCGAACGCCGGGCUGCCAAGAAGCAGAACAUGCAAACUUAACCGCUGUGCCACCAGGCCGACCCCUAGAGAGUUUUUCUUAAUAUCAAUCACAUUGUUUAGUGUCGACUCCUCGGCUUCUGAUGAACUAAUAGCAAUUACAUUUAAACAGAGAAUAGUUUGAGGGUUUUAUACAUUCAAUAUUUCUAUUAUUGAUUGAGUCACAAAAAUCACUUAUUGAAAUACCUUUUAACCAGUUCACUUAUUUUACUACUUUUUGUUCCCCCUUAAUCCAUGGAGCUCCACAAACCAGUUGGCCAAAUUUCAGGACUCAAUAAACUGAAACAAUUGAAAAGUUCAUUACAUUUUUCACUUUUGUCACCAAAUACCUUUUCAUAUUAUCUACUAAGACAAUCCAAUAGCUUUUCUCUUAUAACCACAGGCCCUCUAGGAUCAGUUCAAACUGACCCCAUCCUAUCAACAGAAGGUUUUUUCUGGGGCAAGCCAAAAAUUUGCAACUCACACAGCCAGAGCAUGGGCAGAGAAGAAAGUCUUCACCUGAAAUAACACCUGGAACCAAAGACUCUCCACCCACAGAACCAAAGGACUGGGCCGUGACUGGAACUCCAAAGUCAGACUCUCAUCAGAAGCAAGGGGUCACUGUCUAGGAAGAUGUGCUGUUAAAGCCGCUUCCACACCUUACGGCAAGUGCUUAAAGCCCUCCAGUCAAAACCUGGCCAUCAACGCUUCCGCGUACCAGCCUGUGCCCCUAACCUCUUAUAUUUUGCCCCAAACCCUGGAUCAGGGAGGCCGAUUUGAGAGCUUUGCCUCCUUUCUCCUUGCUGGUCAACCCCACAAGAGCCUUUUCUUUUCUCAAAAGCUGAUGCGAGGGCCAGUCCCAUAGCCGAGCAGUUAAGUUCGCGCGCUCUGCUUCUGCGGCCCAGGGUCUCACUGGUUCAGAUCCCGGGCGCCGACCUAGCACUGCUCAUCAGGCCACACUGAGGCGGCAUCCCACAUGCCACAACCAGAAGGACUUACAACUAGAAUCUACAACUAUGUACUGGGGGACUUGGGGGAGAAGGAAAAAUUUUAAAAAGCUGUGCCAUAAUUGGCUUUAAUGCCCAUCGGGCACAGAACGCCAUUUGUGCGCUAAUAUAGAUACUGCAUUUUGUUUUAAACGGUAUACCUUUUUUCCCACAUCAAUAAUAUCUACCACUUCUGUUUCAAAGUUUCCUUUGUUUGUUUAUGUUAUGGACUGAAUGUUUGCAUCUCUGCAAAUUCUAGUUAACCCCUGACUCUCCUCCCGAGUGAUUACAAGGUGGGGCUUUGGGAGGCAAGUAGGAUUCGAUGAGGUCAUAAGGGUGGAGGUCAUAAAGGACGAGUGCCCUCUAAGAGUCACAAGAGAGCUUCCUUCCUCUGCUCUGCUCUCCACUAUGUGAGGAUACCACAGAAGUCGGCAGUCUGCAAUCCAGAAAAGGGUUCUCACCAGAACCCACCAAGCUGGCACUCUGAUCUCAGACUUCCAGCCUCCAGAACUGUGAGGAAUAAAGUUCUGUUGCUAUGAGUCACCCAGCCUGUGGUACUCUGUUACAGCAACCUGAGUCGACUACGACAGCUUACAUACGUUCAAUCAUUUUAUAGUCCAUUGAGAUAAUGUCAGCUCUAACAAUUAAAACAUUUUUCUCGUACACCUGAAAUUAUACAAUGUUAUAAACCAUUAUGAUCUCAGUAAAAUUACUGGGAAACAAACAUUUUUCUCAUAAAGCUAAAAUAAAUAUUGACAUUUCCAUUAAAAUAUUAAGGCCCAAACUCUUAAAAACCUAUUUUUCAAAUGGCUAACCACUCCAUAUCAGUUCUACUACAGUGAACACAGAGCUUACUGAUUUCCAAACUGCCGUCCACUGAGCUUCGAUCUUCAUUACUUAACUUGCAGUUCUGUUAUUUGCUGUGACAGAAAAAUAGCUUGUUGAAAGAAAACAAUACGAGAAUUACCUGACUUUGGCUUCAUAUUGCUUUAUCUAAAAUUAAUUUGAUAACGUACUGCUAAAUUAAAACAUCCAGAUUUUUCCUAAACUUUUGGCUGAAAUUUCAGACUCUCUCUUGCAUUACAAUGGCACUUUUUGUACGAAACCCAGUGACUUUUUUUUAAUUGUUGUAAAAUAUUCCAAUGACUUUUUUUUUUUUUUUUUUUGCCAUGGAAGACUUGCCCUGAGCUAACAUCUGUUGCCCACCUUCCUCUUUUUGUAUGUGAGCCACCACCACAGCAUGGCCACUGACAAGUAGUGUAGGUCCACGCCCAGGAACCGAACCUGGGCCACCAAAGCAGAGCACGCCAAAUUUAACCACUAGGCUACCAGGGCUGGCCAUCCAAUAACAUUUUAAUGGAAAGAUUUUUCAAUGAAAUACAAUUUUUCUUGCCCAUCAAGUUCAAUAUGUUGUAUUAAAUGUGGUUCCCAGUGCCAUAAGAUCAACAAAAACCAUUAUCUUCAAAAUCUUGAAAUUUGUAUUUUAAGCAAUUAAAACAUUUAUGUUAUGUUUCAGCUUCUCUGAUGAUGAUUUAAAAUGAACUACAUUGACUCAUGUUUUCCAAAACGUUUUCUCAUUUAGGUCCAUCCACGUUUCGUAGUAAGUGGGUCCAUAGUACCCAUGU